CCUACGGGUGGCAGCAGUGGGGAAUAUUGGACAAUGGGGGCAACCCUGAUCCAGCCAUGCCGCGUGUGUGAAGAAGGCCCUCGGGUUGUAAAGCACUUUCAGUGAGGAAGAACGCCUGGUGGUUAAUACCCAUCAGGAAAGACAUCACUCACAGAAGAAGCACCGGCUAACUCCGUGCCAGCAGCCGCGGUAAUACGGAGGGUGCGAGCGUUAAUCGGAAUUACUGGGCGUAAAGCGCGCGUAGGUGGCUUGAUAAGCCGGUUGUGAAAGCCCCGGGCUCAACCUGGGAACGGCAUCCGGAACUGUCAAGCUAGAGUGCAGGAGAGGAAGGUAGAAUUCCCGGGGUAGCGGUGAAAUGCGUAGAGAUCGGGAGGAAUACCAGUGGCGAAGGCGGCCUUCUGGACUGACACUGACACUGAGGUGCGAAAGCGUGGGUAGCAAACAGGAUUAGAUACCCUUGUAGUC
This 465-nucleotide ribosomal RNA is filed under the name Vreelandella stevensii. RNAcentral's name for it is "partial 16S ribosomal RNA". It matches the Rfam family "Bacterial small subunit ribosomal RNA", at positions 338 to 795 of the family's 1533-position model. Lineage: Bacteria; Pseudomonadati; Pseudomonadota; Gammaproteobacteria; Oceanospirillales; Halomonadaceae. The record is from RNAcentral.